CACCCAUGAUUUUACAAGGUGCACAUGAAUGCACCAAUAAGCCCAGUCUGUGUUGUUUCUCCGACUCCGGCAUUGGCCGUGGUGUCUCAGAAAGUGCAUCUAGGCUACACUGUGUCUUUAGCU
Long non-coding RNA from Etheostoma spectabile (orangethroat darter), 123 nucleotides. RefSeq lists it as uncharacterized. NCBI's taxonomy places the organism in Eukaryota, Metazoa, Chordata, Actinopteri, Perciformes, Percidae. The transcript is spliced from 3 exons. The record is from RefSeq and is a predicted model, not a curated record.